This 455-nucleotide ribosomal RNA is filed under the name Acinetobacter sp. RNAcentral's name for it is "bacterial SSU rRNA". It matches the Rfam family "Bacterial small subunit ribosomal RNA", at positions 341 to 787 of the family's 1533-position model. Lineage: Bacteria; Pseudomonadati; Pseudomonadota; Gammaproteobacteria; Moraxellales; Moraxellaceae. The record is from RNAcentral.
ACGGGAGGCAGCAGUGGGGAAUAUUGGACAAUGGGGGGAACCCUGAUCCAGCCAUGCCGCGUGUGUGAAGAAGGCCUUUUGGUUGUAAAGCACUUUAAGCGGGGAGGAGGCUCUUCUAGUUAAUACCUAGGAUGAGUGGACGUUACCCGCAGAAUAAGCACCGGCUAACUCUGUGCCAGCAGCCGCGGUAAUACAGAGGGUGCGAGCGUUAAUCGGAUUUACUGGGCGUAAAGCGUACGUAGGCGGCUUUUUAAGUCGGAUGUGAAAUCCCUGAGCUUAACUUAGGAAUUGCAUUCGAUACUGGGAAGCUAGAGUAUGGGAGAGGAUGGUAGAAUUCCAGGUGUAGCGGUGAAAUGCGUAGAGAUCUGGAGGAAUACCGAUGGCGAAGGCAGCCAUCUGGCCUAAUACUGACGCUGAGGUACGAAAGCAUGGGGAGCAAACAGGAUUAGAUACCC